UACGGAGGGUGCAAGCGUUAUCCGGAUUCACUGGGUUUAAAGGGUGCGUAGGCGGGCAGGUAAGUCAGUGGUGAAAUCUUCGAGCUUAACUCGGAAACUGCCUUUGGUACUAUCUGUCUUGAAUAUGGUGGAGGUAAGCGGAAUAUGUCAUGUAGCGGUGAAAUGCUUAGAGAUGACAUAGAACACCUAUUGCGAAGGCAGCUUACUACGCCUAUAUUGACGCUGAGGCACGAAAGCGUGGGGAUCAAACAGG
This 253-nucleotide ribosomal RNA is filed under the name uncultured bacterium. RNAcentral's name for it is "partial 16S ribosomal RNA". It matches the Rfam family "Bacterial small subunit ribosomal RNA", at positions 524 to 776 of the family's 1533-position model. The record is from RNAcentral.